GUUGGCGGCAUGUCCUUUCUGUCACACACCGGUGGGUAGCUGCCCUCUGUUGUAGCUCCACCACCAAACAACUCAGUUAUUUUUUCCACAUCCAGCUGUAACUCCGAUUCUAUGCGAGCAUUUGCGAGAGACCAGGGAGGUGAAACGACAGAGAGAGUCCCCUCGCUAUCCAUUUGCAGCCAAGUGCGGCAGCUAGCUAGGUAGCCAGCUAGGUAGCCGGCUAGCUGUCAGGCAGGACCGACCACUGUCGCUAAAUAUGGGAUGUCUUGAUAAAACAAGCAGAUAUUUGAAGUUUACACACCUACAUUCUCGCCUGAAAAUAUCUUAAAAGCUUAUUUUGUGACCUAGAAACACGAAUAAAAGACAUAUAAAACGAAGUGGUGGCCGCCAUUGUUCACUCUGUAGAGGCGUGCUAUGAAUUGUGGGAUAUUGAGUUUUCC
Molecule: long non-coding RNA, 440 nt
Organism: Oreochromis aureus
Lineage: Eukaryota; Metazoa; Chordata; Actinopteri; Cichliformes; Cichlidae
Source: Ensembl